CAGCCUUUCUGCGCACUCGGUUUCUGAUUCUGCUCGCUCGGCUGUUGGGAGUUUUGGUACUCUGGAGGCAUGGAAGAAUUAAAGUGCCAGAAACUGAGCAGUUGAACUUUCAAUUUGAGAGCAGAAUUUCAUAUCAAGAGACCAUCUUUUUAAUUUCAGAAUACGAUUUUAUAUUAUUGCUCUCAAAACUUGAAAUGCUUGCGCUCAAAAUGUCUGCUCUCUUUCAAAUUCACUCUGUUCUCCUUCAAAUCUUUGUUUUUGCGCUCAGAUUUAACCUUCUUACACUGGUAUUGUCUUCUCAUGUGACAACUUUUUCUCUGCACGGAUCAAAACUCCUCCCACAAGUCUGUCCCCUGCUCUCACGGAUCUUGUCUGUCUCGCUCAAAACUUAGAAGUACAAUCUCCUAGCAACCGCUCAGCCAAUAGAAAGACUUGUGGGACUGGGCGGGAACAAACCUCUUUGGGGUGCGCUCGUUUUUCGCUCUGUUGAUUUUCCUGUGUGGCUGCCGCAUCUGCGCACUAACAGCCUGGCUAAUACCCGCUCUGAUCUGGAGCGGAAGUUUCACCUGCACCAGCAAAAUGGACCAGAACCAACAAGACGCUCAAACUGGUUCCAUCAGAGAAGUUACGAGAAACCUUAUGGAUUUACUGAAUGCUCAUCUACAAGCAGAGGGCCCGCAACAAACACCAACUGUGCCACAGCGCACAACACCUUAACAGACUAUCCCUCGGUCUACAGUUCAUCAAGAAAUGUCAAGGAUUUCCAAGAGCCAGACAUCGACUGGGAUGUUGCAACAGAGUACAGCCCAGAUGUGGACGGUGCUGUUGUGGUCCCGGAGUUCGAC
This is a non-coding RNA of Nothobranchius furzeri (turquoise killifish), 845 nucleotides long. The record is from RefSeq and is a predicted model, not a curated record. Lineage: Eukaryota; Metazoa; Chordata; Actinopteri; Cyprinodontiformes; Nothobranchiidae.